CAGUUAGCUCAGUUGGCAGAGCGCAGGUUCCAUGACCCAAUAGUCACGGGUUCGAAUCCCGU
RNAcentral lists this transfer RNA (62 nucleotides) under Thalassiosira antarctica. The record is from RNAcentral. Lineage: Eukaryota; Bacillariophyta; Thalassiosirophyceae; Thalassiosirales; Thalassiosiraceae.